UCAAGUGGAAUCUCUUAUUUAUCUUCAAGAUAAAAGUACAUAAAUCUACGGUUUUACAUACUCUCUCCAUAUAUAAAAGUACGAUGUUCUAGACAAAAAAAUUGAUGUUUUAUGAUAUAAUUAAUGCAUUUACUUUUAAAAUUAAAAUAUUAAUUAAAGAGUAAAAUUAGGAGUGGUAAGACUUUAUCUGUAAAACAAAAAGUAAUAAUCAAAUGAGUUUAUUUAUUGUUUUUUAAUAUGUGUGAGAAACUUUAAAUAUCAAUUUUAAAAAUAUACUUUAAGAGGAUGAUGCAUGUAUAACUUCUUUGUCAACUAUCAGGAUAUAAAUUGAUCUCAACAA
Molecule: long non-coding RNA, 340 nt
Filed under: Brassica napus (rape)
Lineage: Eukaryota; Viridiplantae; Streptophyta; Magnoliopsida; Brassicales; Brassicaceae
Description: long non-coding RNA (BNAP_LNC021107)
Source: RNAcentral